RNAcentral lists this ribosomal RNA (809 nucleotides) under Acinetobacter beijerinckii. Its description in RNAcentral is "bacterial SSU rRNA". It matches the Rfam family "Bacterial small subunit ribosomal RNA", at positions 56 to 859 of the family's 1533-position model. The record is from RNAcentral. Lineage: Bacteria; Pseudomonadati; Pseudomonadota; Gammaproteobacteria; Moraxellales; Moraxellaceae.
UGCAAGUCGAGCGGGGAAAGGUAGCUUGCUACCUAACCUAGCGGCGGACGGGUGAGUAAUGCUUAGGAAUCUGCCUAUUAGUGGGGGACAACAUUCCGAAAGGAAUGCUAAUACCGCAUACGUCCUACGGGAGAAAGCAGGGGACCUUCGGGCCUUGCGCUAAUAGAUGAGCCUAAGUCGGAUUAGCUAGUUGGUGGGGUAAAGGCCUACCAAGGCGACGAUCUGUAGCGGGUCUGAGAGGAUGAUCCGCCACACUGGGACUGAGACACGGCCCAGACUCCUACGGGAGGCAGCAGUGGGGAAUAUUGGACAAUGGGGGGAACCCUGAUCCAGCCAUGCCGCGUGUGUGAAGAAGGCCUUUUGGUUGUAAAGCACUUUAAGCGAGGAGGAGGCUACUAGUAUUAAUACUACUGGAUAGUGGACGUUACUCGCAGAAUAAGCACCGGCUAACUCUGUGCCAGCAGCCGCGGUAAUACAGAGGGUGCGAGCGUUAAUCGGAUUUACUGGGCGUAAAGCGUGCGUAGGCGGCUGAUUAAGUCGGAUGUGAAAUCCCUGAGCUUAACUUAGGAAUUGCAUUCGAUACUGGUCAGCUAGAGUAUGGGAGAGGAUGGUAGAAUUCCAGGUGUAGCGGUGAAAUGCGUAGAGAUCUGGAGGAAUACCGAUGGCGAAGGCAGCCAUCUGGCCUAAUACUGACGCUGAGGUACGAAAGCAUGGGGAGCAAACAGGAUUAGAUACCCUGGUAGUCCAUGCCGUAAACGAUGUCUACUAGCCGUUGGGGCCUUUGAGGCUUUAGUGGCGCAGCUAACGCG